Molecule: ribosomal RNA, 253 nt
Filed under: uncultured bacterium
Lineage: Bacteria
Description: partial 16S ribosomal RNA
Rfam family: Bacterial small subunit ribosomal RNA
Source: RNAcentral
UACGUAGGGACCAAGCGUUGUUCGGAUUUACUGGGCGUAAAGGGCGCGUAGGCGGCAUGACAAGUCACUUGUGAAAUCUCCGGGCUUAACUCGGAACGGUCAAGUGAUACUGUCGCGCUAGAGUGCGGAAGGGGCAAUCAGAAUUCUUGGUGUAGCGGUGAAAUGCGUAGAUAUCAAGAGGAAUACCUGAGGUGAAGACGGGUUGCUAGGCCGACACUGACGCUGAAGCGCGAGAGCCAGGGGAGCAAACGGG